AUGCUAUAAGUAUUUUCCCUUGGCAGCUUAUACAAAUGGUUUGAUACAAUUUUGCGACCUAUCUUCUUCAGCCCAAACUCUGCAUCAGUAGACGUGAGUAUACAUACGGCGUCGAAAAAGGAAAAUAGAUUAGAUUGCGUGUCAACAGCAAUAAAGCUCGUCUCGAGGCUGUACGGAUCUUGGCACUGCUCACGUUUGGGGUUUAUUUAUUUCAUUCCCCUUCCUAUCCUUGUCGAAGCUCUCAGCGACUCUGCAGUAGAAAUGACGGCCUCCCGAUGCGAUGAUGUGUGCUGAUAUUUGACACUUUAUUGUGUGCACAACAUCUGCU
Molecule: long non-coding RNA, 328 nt
Organism: Drosophila miranda
Lineage: Eukaryota; Metazoa; Arthropoda; Insecta; Diptera; Drosophilidae
Exons: 2
Source: RefSeq, a predicted model, not a curated record